GGCUUGAUAGCUCAGUUGGCAGAGCACUGCACUGAUAUUGCAGAGGUCAUGGGUUUGAAUCCUGUUCAAGCCU
Non-coding RNA from Orbicella faveolata, 73 nucleotides. NCBI's taxonomy places the organism in Eukaryota, Metazoa, Cnidaria, Anthozoa, Scleractinia, Merulinidae. The record is from the annotation of a RefSeq genome assembly.